GCCCAAGCAACUUGGCACAGGCGCUGCAUUGCUCCUGGCAACAGACAUAAAACCCGGCCUUCAACGACGAAGACGGGUUUCCCGAGAGAACGGGAUCGGACAAAGGCGUCCUCGUCAGGCCACUGACGGGACGCC
This is a non-coding RNA of Pseudomonas sp. ABAC61, 135 nucleotides long. The record is from Rfam. Lineage: Bacteria; Pseudomonadati; Pseudomonadota; Gammaproteobacteria; Pseudomonadales; Pseudomonadaceae.